RNAcentral lists this non-coding RNA (46 nucleotides) under Sexangularia sp. CB-2014. The record is from RNAcentral. Lineage: Eukaryota; Tubulinea; Elardia; Arcellinida.
UCCAUGUCACUUUCACGUCGAGCCCGAGGUGAAGAACCGUCCCUUC